RNAcentral lists this ribosomal RNA (373 nucleotides) under uncultured bacterium. Its description in RNAcentral is "bacterial SSU rRNA". It matches the Rfam family "Bacterial small subunit ribosomal RNA", at positions 525 to 896 of the family's 1533-position model. The record is from RNAcentral.
ACAGAGGGUGCGAGCGUUGUCCGGAAUCACUGGGCGUAAAGGGCGCGUAGGCGGCUCGGUAAGCGUGUGGUGAAAGCCCGGGGCUCAACCCCGGGUCGGCCAUGCGAACUGUCGAGCUGGAGCACGGUAGAGGCACAUGGAAUUCCGGGUGUAGCGGUGGAAUGCGUAGAGAUCCGGAAGAACACCGGUGGCGAAGGCGGUGUGCUGGGCCGUAGCUGACGCUGAGGCGCGACAGCGUGGGGAGCAAACAGGAUUAGAUACCCUGGUAGUCCACGCCGUAAACGAUGGGCACUAGGUCCUUGGGGGAGCGACCCCGUGAGGGCCGGCGCUAACGCAUUAAGUGCCCCGCCUGGGGAGUACGGCCGCAAGGCUG